RNAcentral lists this ribosomal RNA (443 nucleotides) under uncultured bacterium. RNAcentral describes it as "partial 16S ribosomal RNA". It matches the Rfam family "Bacterial small subunit ribosomal RNA", at positions 338 to 795 of the family's 1533-position model. The record is from RNAcentral.
CCUACGUGUGGCAGCAGUGGGGAAUAUUGGGCAAUGGAGGCAACUCUGACCCAGCAACGCCGCGUGAAUGAUGAAGGUCUUCGGAUUGUAAAGUUCUGUGAUGGGGGAUGAACACAAUGACGGUACCCCAAUAGCAAGCCACGGCUAACUACGUGCCAGCAGCCGCGGUAAUACGUAGGUGGCAAGCGUUAUCCGGAAUGACUGGGCGUAAAGGGGGCGCAGACGGCAAUGCAAGCCAGGAGUGAAAGCCCGGGGCCCAACCCCGGGACUGCUCUUGGAACUGCAUGGCUGGAGUACAGGAGGGGCAGGCGGAAUUCCUAGUGUAGCGGUGAAAUGCGUAGAUAUUAGGAGGAACACCGGUGGCGAAGGCGGCCUGCUGGACUGUGACUGACGUUGAGGCCCGAAGGCGUGGGGAGCAAACAGGAUUAGAUACCCCAGUAGUC